AGUGAACGCUGGCGGUAGGCCUAACACAUGCAAGUCGAACGGCAGCACAGAGGAGCUUGCUCCUUGGGUGGCGAGUGGCGGACGGGUGAGGAAUACAUCGGAAUCCACUCUGUCGUGGGGGAUAACGUAGGGAAACUUACGCUAAUACCGCAUACGACCUACGGGGGAAAGCAGGGGACCUUCGGGCCUUGCGCGAUUGAAUGAGCCGAUGUCGGAUGGGCUAGUUGGCGGGGUAAAGGCCCACCAAGGCGACGAUCCGUAGCUGGUCUGAGAGGAUGAUCAGCCACACUGGAACUGAGACACGGUCCAGACUCCUACGGGAGGCAGCAGUGGGGAAUAUUGGACAAUGGGCGCAAGCCUGAUCCAGCCAUACCGCGUGGGUGAAGAAGGCCUUCGGGUUGUAAAGCCCUUUUGUUGGGAAAGAAAUCCAGCUGGCUAAUACCCGGUUGGGAUGACGGUACCCAAAGAAUAAGCACCGGCUAACUUCGUGCCAGCCGCCGCAGUAA
Molecule: ribosomal RNA, 506 nt
Filed under: uncultured bacterium
Lineage: Bacteria
Description: partial 16S ribosomal RNA
Rfam family: Bacterial small subunit ribosomal RNA
Source: RNAcentral